GAUGAACGCUGGCGGCGUGCCUAAUACAUGCAAGUCGAGCGAACGGACGAGGAGCUUGCUUCUCUGAUGUUAGCGGCGGACGGGUGAGUAACACGUGGAUAACCUACCUAUAAGACUGGGAUAACUUCGGGAAACCGGAGCUAAUACCGGAUAAUAUUUUGAACCGCAUGGUUCAAAAGUGAAAGACGGUCUUGCUGUCACUUAUAGAUGGAUCCGCGCUGCAUUAGCUAGUUGGUAAGGUAACGGCUUACCAAGGCAACGAUGCAUAGCCGACCUGAGAGGGGGAUCGGCCACACUGGAACUGAGACACGGUCCAGACUCCUACGGGAGGCAGCAGUAGGGAAUCUUCCGCAAUGGGCGAAAGCCUGACGGAGCAACGCCGCGUGAGUGAUGAAGGUCUUCGGAUCGUAAAACUCUGUUAUUAGGGAAGAACAUAUGUGUAAGUAACUGUGCACAUCUUGACGGUACCUAAUCAGAAAGCCACGGCUAACUACGUG
This 497-nucleotide ribosomal RNA is filed under the name uncultured bacterium. Its description in RNAcentral is "partial 16S ribosomal RNA". It matches the Rfam family "Bacterial small subunit ribosomal RNA", at positions 28 to 507 of the family's 1533-position model. The record is from RNAcentral.